GUCCCAAGAAUUUCCAGUCCACAAAACUUCUGAGCUAGAUGUUAAUAUAAAAAUACUAAUACUGGUAAUUCUUCUUAAAGUCUUAAUAAUUGCGUUAUUUUUCUGGUGUAUGCAAGUCAAUGAUUUAAAAUUACUUAAAUCUCAGCAAACAGAUUUGAAGAAACCACCAAUAUCAGAAAAUACCAUAUCUCUUGUUAAACUCAAAUCCAACAAUUAAUUGCAUUGCAAAAACAAAAAGCAUAUAUAAUUAAAAAAAAUGUUUCAUAUUGAAUGGAGUUGUUCGUUAAUUGUCGUUUUGCUGUUAUUUAAAUUGCUACUGAUUGCUGCUGUUUCCUACUCAAUAUAUCGAUGGUAUUGGAGGCAUGAUGCAACUACUCAACAGCAGCAAAAUUAAUUGUUAUAAAAAGCAUUUUGUGGUGUGAUAGAAAAGGCUCUUCUAUGAGAACAGAUGAUAAUGAAGGGUGUUUUGUAACGACAAAGGAAUUUAUUGUUUUCUUUAGUCACGCAACUCUUAACUGUGGAGGAGUAAGAAGACAUAAAGACAAUGAAAGAAAGUUUCAAUUAAAUUGAAUGAUGUACAUUUAAUUAAAUUAAAAUUUCUAUGAAUAUUAAUAACUAACAAUUUGUUAAAAUCAAAAUACAUGCUGUGAUUUGUAUAUUUUUUGUGCUACAAAAUAUGUUCUCUUA
Long non-coding RNA from Lucilia cuprina (Australian sheep blowfly), 687 nucleotides. RefSeq lists it as uncharacterized. The record is from RefSeq and is a predicted model, not a curated record. The transcript is spliced from 3 exons. NCBI's taxonomy places the organism in Eukaryota, Metazoa, Arthropoda, Insecta, Diptera, Calliphoridae.